UACAGAGGGGGCAAGCGUUGUUCGGAAUUACUGGGCGUAAAGGGCGCGUAGGCGGCCUGUUAAGUCGAACGUGAAAUCCCCGGGCUCAACCCGGGAACUGCGUCCGAUACUGGCAGGCUUGAAUCCGGGAGAGGGAUGUGGAAUUCCAGGUGUAGCGGUGAAAUGCGUAGAUAUCAAGAGGAACACCUGAGGUGAAGACGGGUUGCUGGGCCAACACUGACGCUGAGGCGCGAAAGCCAGGGGAGCAAACGGG
This 253-nucleotide ribosomal RNA is filed under the name uncultured bacterium. Its description in RNAcentral is "partial 16S ribosomal RNA". It matches the Rfam family "Bacterial small subunit ribosomal RNA", at positions 524 to 776 of the family's 1533-position model. The record is from RNAcentral.